This is a non-coding RNA of Leptonychotes weddellii (Weddell seal), 2141 nucleotides long. NCBI's taxonomy places the organism in Eukaryota, Metazoa, Chordata, Mammalia, Carnivora, Phocidae. The record is from RefSeq and is a predicted model, not a curated record.
AAAAAAGCCUCAUAUGCUAGCAUUUGCUGGAGGAAAUCACUUGGGUAGCAUUUGGCCACAGCUUUCUUACAGUUUUUUGGUUUUGUUCUUUAAAGGUCUCCUAAGCUCUUAACAAUGUCAAAUCAUCUCUUUCCAGGAAUGCAAGAAACAACACCAGGAGGUCAUAUCUGUUUACAGAAUGCAUCUUCUGUACGCCGUGCAGGGCCAGAUGGACGAAGAUGUCCAGAAAGUACUGAAGCAGAUCCUUACCAUGUGUAAAAACCAGUCCCAGAAGAAGUAAAAUGGAUCCCUUGGCAGGACACUGCCCCCUUGUUGUCCAUCUUUGCAUUAGAUCUGGAGUUGCUGGCAGCCACUGACUGCCAUUGUGCUCACUCGUCGUCUGCGCCGUGGCCUCGCAGAGCUUUUUCCCUUUCCAAAGGCAGCUUUCUGAGGCCCGGGCCCUGGGGGAGACUGUCCUCAGAACCGCUUAGAGACCUCAGCAGCCGAGGUGACGCACCGUGUUACCCCUUCAGACUCCGGAGCUGGGGUCAGCCACAGCCGGGGGUGUGGUCCUGGUGCUGGCAGUGGGCACCCUCCUCCGUGGCUGACCGGCCGAGGGGCUUCGUGGUCCCAGACGGAUGUGCUGAGACCUGCGCUCCCCGUGGCUUUCGUUCCCACACUCAGGCCGUGCCGUUCAGCACCGGAGGGCUCUUUUUGCCUUUGGUUUCCAAUCCUAAAACACGAUUCAACUUUUGGCCAAAUUAGUCUGGCACUAGUUAUGUGGUGCACGCUGAAGAGCCUUUAUUGUGAUAUCCUGUGGAUUUUAAAAACUCUCAUUCCAUCAUUUCCCCCCAUCUGCCUUAUAUAGCUCAUCACGCUGCUCGCUCCUUGGUCCCGUGGUGUGAUGAGACUAUUCACUAAAAUCUGAAGUUGAGAAACAAAAGCAAAUUGUCCUUAGAAGUUCUUUUUAAAGCAAACUGUUGACAUAGUGCAGAUUUUCUAUGCAAACUGGCCUCCUGCUGUUAUCCGUGAAGCUCAGGAAUCCAGACUUUUGUGUUCAACGAGGGACAGUAAACUGCGUGUUUACAGCCAAAAGAAAUGCCUCAUGGUUCUUAACCUCAGUUUUUUUAAAAGUGUUUUUUUUUCCUCUACGAUAUUUUUAUUGGCUCUUAAAGAUGUUUUCGUAGCUAAACCCCUAAAUAAGUGAAAUCUACAUUAGACUCUAUUAACAAAGUAUUUUUAGGUAACCGUGCUUGCGACUUUUUUUUAAAGCCUAACUUUUUCUUCAGAGUUUUCCACUAUAGCCAAGGGUAGUUAUGUAUUUAUUCCUUUUCCAAACUCAACAUGAGCUCCCACCGGUAUCCCUAGACGUUCUGCCAUCGUGUCCUUAGAACUGUAGCACAUUUCUGAAUACGGUAAAUCCUCCUGUUACCCACUGAGUAUUUUUGAAUGCCCCAGCGCUACCAGCGCCUGUAAAAAUGAUGUCUGGAAGGACUGUUAGUACCGAUCACUUUUCCAAUGUUGGAACUAAAAAUCCCGAUAUGGUACACCUGAUGGUGCAUGGCAAAGGUCACGGGGGAAAGUAUUUCUGUUCACUUUACUUUCAGGUUAAAAGUGUUUUUGAACUUGAUCGCAGCUUCCUUAUGGCAUUGUUCUUAAGGAGGAAUGUCAGCUGAGCAUGGACCUCUCCGAGGUGUAUAACGGAAAGGGCCGAGGCCUGCCCUGACAGGGCCCACGUGCCUUUGGGCCGCCUGGGCACACAGGGUGCUAGGCUGUUUCGGAGGAUGUGUUCAUCUCUAUUGGAUGAGGACCAAGGACAGCAAAGCAAAAAUGGCUUUCAAGCUUGGCGUUACUUUCCUUAAGUUGUGUAUAGUUCAGCAGUUCCGAAAAUGCUCCAAAGAAAUGUGAAAGGACUUUUUGUCACAGCCCUUAAUACAAGCAAACCCCUCCUCCUGCCCCCGCACAGAAAUGCUGCAGAGUAUAAAACUUGAGACAUUUUGUAGGACGCCUGACAAAGUGUAGCCUUUUAUCUUGUUUCAGGAUGCCUAUUUAUUUUAAGUACUCUGGUUAAAUAUUGAAAAGUUAUAUGCUGUAGUUUAGCAUUUUUGCCUUUGUAAUUUACGGAAGGUAUUGCAGAAAAUAAACUUUUGUUUCAUUUUGCA